This 1323-nucleotide ribosomal RNA is filed under the name human gut metagenome. Its description in RNAcentral is "bacterial LSU rRNA". It matches the Rfam family "Bacterial large subunit ribosomal RNA", at positions 1104 to 2438 of the family's 2925-position model. The record is from RNAcentral.
GCUUGGAAGCAGCCAUUCAUUUAAAGAGUGCGUAACAGCUCACUAGUCGAGGAGUCUGGCGUGGAUAAUAAUCGGGUAUUAAGUUGUCUACCGAAGCAGUGGGAUCAUUGAAAUGAUCGGUAGGGGAGCAUUCCAGUCAGCGUCGAAGGCGUACCGCGAGGUAUUCUGGAGCGUCUGGAAAAGCAAAUGUAGGUAUAAGUAACGAUAAAGGGGGCGGGAAACCCCCUCGCCGAAAGACUAAGGUUUCCUGAUCAACGCUAAUCGGAUCAGGGUAAGUCGGGUCCUAAGGCUCAGCCGAAGGGCGAUGCCGAUGGCAGAAACGGUUAAUAUUCCGUUACUACCUCCAGGAGUGAUGUGGAGACGCAGUAGUGACAAUGCCGCCAUCUGACGGAAUAGAUGGUUGAAGGGUGUAGAUGUUGAUCUUGGCAGGCAAAUCCACCAUGAGAAUCGAACCUGAUAGUAUGCCGCGUCCCUCGGGACAAGGCAAUAGUGCAUGUAAUCAUGCUGCCAAGAAAAUCCGCUAAACUAAAUCCUGUAGGUACCCGUACCGUAAACGGACACACGUAGUCGGGAUGAAUAUUCUAAGGCGCUUGAGUGAUUCACGGUUAAGGAACUAGGCAAACUGACCCUGUAACUUCGGGAUAAAGGGUCCCUACCCGGUGACGGGAGGGCGCAGAGAAUAGGUCCAGGCAACUGUUUAACAAAAACACAGGGCUGUGCUAAAUCGAAAGAUCCUGUAUACAGCCUGACACCUGCCCGGUGCUGGAAGGUUAAGAGGAGACGUCAUCGUUGAGAGAAGCGUUGAAUUGAAGCCCCAGUAAACGGCGGCCGUAACUAUAACGGUCCUAAGGUAGCGAAAUUCCUUGUCGGGUAAGUUCCGACCUGCACGAAUGGUGUAAUGAUCUGGACGCUGUCUCAACCGUGAGCUCAGUGAAAUUGUAGUAUCGGUGAAGAUGCCGAUUACCCGCGAUGGGACGAAAAGACCCCGUGAACCUUUACUAUAGCUUAUCAUUGAAUCUGGGCACGUGAUGUGUAGGAUAGGUCGGAGGCUUUGAAGGGGGUACGCCAGUAUCCUUGGAGCCGCUGUUGAAAUACGACCCUUCAUUUGUUUGGAUUCUAACCCGUGUAUAUGGGGACACUGAUUGGUGGGUAGUUUGACUGGGGUGGUCGCCUCCAAAAGCGUAACGGAGGCUUCUAAAGGUGCCCUCACGGCGAUUGGUAACCGCCGUUAGAGUGUAAUGGCAUAAGGGCGCUUGACUGGGAGACUGACAAGUCGAUCAGGUAGGAAACUAGAGCAUAGUGAUCCGGUGUUUCCGUAUGGAA